This 699-nucleotide ribosomal RNA is filed under the name Actinomycetes bacterium. Its description in RNAcentral is "bacterial SSU rRNA". It matches the Rfam family "Bacterial small subunit ribosomal RNA", at positions 121 to 834 of the family's 1533-position model. The record is from RNAcentral. Lineage: Bacteria; Bacillati; Actinomycetota; Actinomycetes.
CUAACCUGCCCUUAACUCUGGGAUAAGCCUGGGAAACUGGGUCUAAUACCGGAUAGGAGCGUCCACCGCAUGGUGGGUGUUGGAAAGAUUUAUCGGUUUUGGAUGGACUCGCGGCCUAUCAGCUUGUUGGUGAGGUAAUGGCUCACCAAGGCGACGACGGGUAGCCGGCCUGAGAGGGUGACCGGCCACACUGGGACUGAGACACGGCCCAGACUCCUACGGGAGGCAGCAGUGGGGAAUAUUGCACAAUGGGCGCAAGCCUGAUGCAGCGACGCCGCGUGAGGGAUGACGGCCUUCGGGUUGUAAACCUCUUUCAGUAGGGAAGAAGCGAAAGUGACGGUACCUGCAGAAGAAGCACCGGCUAACUACGUGCCAGCAGCCGCGGUAAUACGUAGGGUGCGAGCGUUAUCCGGAAUUAUUGGGCGUAAAGAGCUCGUAGGCGGUUUGUCGCGUCUGUCGUGAAAGUCCGGGGCUUAACCCCGGAUCUGCGGUGGGUACGGGCAGACUAGAGUGCAGUAGGGGAGACUGGAAUUCCUGGUGUAGCGGUGGAAUGCGCAGAUAUCAGGAGGAACACCGAUGGCGAAGGCAGGUCUCUGGGCUGUAACUGACGCUGAGGAGCGAAAGCAUGGGGAGCGAACAGGAUUAGAUACCCUGGUAGUCCAUGCCGUAAACGUUGGGCACUAGGUGUGGGGACCAUUC